This is a long non-coding RNA of Tachysurus vachellii, 387 nucleotides long. RefSeq lists it as uncharacterized. The transcript is spliced from 3 exons. The record is from RefSeq and is a predicted model, not a curated record. NCBI's taxonomy places the organism in Eukaryota, Metazoa, Chordata, Actinopteri, Siluriformes, Bagridae.
UACACUUCAAAGCUCCUGGAUUUGUUUAAAAUGAAGGCGAGUUGAAGAUAAGAGAGAUGCUGUGAUUCGGUGCUUGGCUUCCUAUCUGGGAGAAUCAUCUGAGGAGCUCAUUGAAGCCUACCAGGAUGUCAGAAGAGACAUGAUUGAAGAUAGCUUCACCAAUCAUGUAAUGAAGAUUGUUGUACUGGGCAGCACCGCAGGAUAGGAAGAUGCCAACAUAGCUGAUGUCAUCAUCGUCAUUGAGGGAACUGCGGUACUGUCGGGAUGCAAGAAUCUUACAAAUGCCUGCCUUCUGCUCAUGGGCUUCAUUUACUCCCUGAACUUAAGCUAUAAUUCAAAGCUAAGAAACACAUUUGAAGUGUUUCAGAAAAUCUUUCUUGGACUGGA